Tupaia belangeri chinensis (Chinese tree shrew) is the source of this 136-nucleotide long non-coding RNA. RefSeq lists it as uncharacterized. The transcript is spliced from 2 exons. Lineage: Eukaryota; Metazoa; Chordata; Mammalia; Scandentia; Tupaiidae. The record is from RefSeq and is a predicted model, not a curated record.
GGACUGUCUUCAAGGGGGAAUCCGAUGACUCCAUUCUCCGGCUGGCCAAGGCUGACUGCAUCGUCUCCAAGAACUUCUGAGGGCGAGGACCCUCAGGCCGGGCUGAGACUUGUCCUAAAUAAACAGUAAAAACUUC